Molecule: long non-coding RNA, 665 nt
Organism: Electrophorus electricus (electric eel)
Lineage: Eukaryota; Metazoa; Chordata; Actinopteri; Gymnotiformes; Gymnotidae
Source: RefSeq, a predicted model, not a curated record
AAAGCAUCAUUUUUGAUCCCUUCAUUCCAAAUUUAGUCAGUGUUAAUGCUGCGCUUACAAUGGUAUGGUCACCAAACAGAGGGGCAACAGAGCUGUAACAACACAGGAAUCGUUACAAAUGUGCCUAACAAAAUGGCCAACGAUUUGGUACAAGUCUUACCUGGAAUAAAGCUUCCUUGGACAACAUCUUUGUAUGCCCACCAGCCAUCGUGAAGUUUUGAGGACACAGGCUGUGCUGUAAGAAACAAACCAAAGUCAUCAGUGGUGCACAACUGUACUGCUGCUUGAAUGAAAACCCACACAGCUUGUGCAUCUUGACUGGCUGGAUGCUCUGAUGCCAGAUGCAUUAUGGAUCUUCUGCUUCGGGCCGCUAAGCAGGAAAAGUAGGUCACCGAGGCAGCCGACUCCGGCUCUGAGAUCUCACAGUUAUCUCACAUCACGGCUCCUGCUGCUCCCUCAGGCAGCUGUGUGCACCAUACCCAGGGUUCCUCUGGAGCACUUCAGCCAACAGUCCCAUACCCCACCCAGUCUACACAGAGACGCCCGCCCCACUGCCCACACCAGACGGAGUGGUGCACGGCUUAAACUGCAUUUUCAGUGGGCCAAGCUGCUCUCUAGUGAGCUUCUCUCACAGAAAUCUCCAGUGUUCUAUUAAAAUUCUGUUU